UCCGUGUUAACCACGGCAGUCUCUCUAGAGUGCCCAACUUAAUGCUGGCAACUAAAGAUAGGGGUUGCGCUCGUUGAGGGACUUAACCCGACAUGCCACCACACGAGCUGACGACAGCCAUGCAGCACCUGUCACUUUGUUGUAUUGCUACAAAAGCUAGAUCUCUCUAGUUGUCAAAGGAUGUCAAACCUAGGUAAGGUUCUGCGCGUUGCUUCGAAUUAAACCACAUAAUCCACCGCUUGUGCGGGCUCCCGUCAAUUCCUUUGAGUUUUAGUCUUGCGACCGUACUUCCCAGGCGGGGUACUUAUUGCGUUAGCUCCGGCUCCGCAGGGGUCAACUCCCACGAAGCCUAGUACCCAUCGUUUACAGCGUGGACUAC
RNAcentral lists this unclassified non-coding RNA (379 nucleotides) under uncultured Oligoflexales bacterium. RNAcentral's name for it is "contains 16S-23S intergenic spacer region". The record is from RNAcentral. Lineage: Bacteria; Pseudomonadati; Bdellovibrionota; Oligoflexia; Oligoflexales.